This 468-nucleotide ribosomal RNA is filed under the name uncultured bacterium. Its description in RNAcentral is "partial 16S ribosomal RNA". It matches the Rfam family "Bacterial small subunit ribosomal RNA", at positions 28 to 507 of the family's 1533-position model. The record is from RNAcentral.
GACGAACGCUGGCGGCGUGCUUAAUACAUGCAAGUCGAACGGACAGGCACUGCUUGUGUGGAGUGCUCGAGUGGCGAACGGGAGAGUGAGACGAGAGUAACCUGCACUUGCCUUUGGGAUAACUUCAGGAAACUGGGGCUAAUACUGGAUAGGAGCACGAGAUGCAUGGAGGGGGUUGGAAAGGUUCGGCGGUCGGGGGUGGACUCGCGGAGUAUCAGCUUGUUGGGGGGGUAGUGGUUUACCAAGGCGUUGCCGGGUAGGCGGUCUGAGAGGGUGACCGGCCACAUUGGGACUUAGGGACGGCACAGACUGCUAAGGGAGGGAACAGUGGGGAAGAUUGCAGGAGGGACGGAACCCGGGUGCAGCAACGCCGCGUGCGGGAUGACGGCCUUCUGAUUGUAGACCGGUUUCGCCUGUGACGGAGAUGGGGGGACGGUAAUGGGUAAAGAAGCACACGGUAACUUCGUG